ACGCACCAACGCAUGCAUGUGUGAUGAUCGUACAGUCACUUUAGAGAGACAUCUCAUUAUCACUGGUGGAUGCAGAACAGACGGACUGUGGGCAGACAGACGUGCACACGCAGAUGCGUGCAGUUUCCCGGACACACGCACCAACUCAUAAAUGAUUCUGCAGCCACCGUAUGGAGAGGUAUCAGUACCGCUGUUGGAUGUAGAACGCAGACACUGGAG
Long non-coding RNA from Priapulus caudatus, 219 nucleotides. RefSeq lists it as uncharacterized. The transcript is spliced from 3 exons. NCBI's taxonomy places the organism in Eukaryota, Metazoa, Priapulida, Priapulimorpha, Priapulimorphida, Priapulidae. The record is from RefSeq and is a predicted model, not a curated record.